GCUGGGAGCGGUGGCGCACGCCUGUAAUCCCAGUGGCUUGGGAGGCUGAGAUGAGAGGAUCGCGAGUUCAAAGCCAGCCUCAGCAAUGGUGAGGUGCUAAGCAACUCAGUGAGACUCUGUCUCUA
This 125-nucleotide small RNA is filed under the name Marmota monax (woodchuck). The record is from RNAcentral. Lineage: Eukaryota; Metazoa; Chordata; Mammalia; Rodentia; Sciuridae.